This 69-nucleotide transfer RNA is filed under the name Stomatella planulata. RNAcentral describes it as "tRNA-Cys". Lineage: Eukaryota; Metazoa; Mollusca; Gastropoda; Trochida; Trochidae. The record is from RNAcentral.
CAUCUUAUAGUUGAUUGAAAUACAACAUUAAAUUGCAAAUUUAAAGGAGGAAUUAAAAUCUUAAGAUGU